This 853-nucleotide ribosomal RNA is filed under the name Stutzerimonas zhaodongensis. RNAcentral describes it as "bacterial SSU rRNA". It matches the Rfam family "Bacterial small subunit ribosomal RNA", at positions 21 to 869 of the family's 1533-position model. The record is from RNAcentral. Lineage: Bacteria; Pseudomonadati; Pseudomonadota; Gammaproteobacteria; Pseudomonadales; Pseudomonadaceae.
GGCUCAGAUUGAACGCUGGCGGCAGGCCUAACACAUGCAAGUCGAGCGGAUGAGUGGAGCUUGCUCCAUGAUUCAGCGGCGGACGGGUGAGUAAUGCCUAGGAAUCUGCCUAUUAGUGGGGGACAACGUUUCGAAAGGAACGCUAAUACCGCAUACGUCCUACGGGAGAAAGCAGGGGACCUUCGGGCCUUGCGCUAAUAGAUGAGCCUAGGUCGGAUUAGCUAGUUGGUGAGGUAAUGGCUCACCAAGGCGACGAUCCGUAACUGGUCUGAGAGGAUGAUCAGUCACACUGGAACUGAGACACGGUCCAGACUCCUACGGGAGGCAGCAGUGGGGAAUAUUGGACAAUGGGCGAAAGCCUGAUCCAGCCAUGCCGCGUGUGUGAAGAAGGUCUUCGGAUUGUAAAGCACUUUAAGUUGGGAGGAAGGGCAUUAACCUAAUACGUUAGUGUUUUGACGUUACCGACAGAAUAAGCACCGGCUAACUUCGUGCCAGCAGCCGCGGUAAUACGAAGGGUGCAAGCGUUAAUCGGAAUUACUGGGCGUAAAGCGCGCGUAGGUGGUUUGUUAAGUUGGAUGUGAAAGCCCCGGGCUCAACCUGGGAACUGCAUCCAAAACUGGCAAGCUAGAGUAUGGCAGAGGGUGGUGGAAUUUCCUGUGUAGCGGUGAAAUGCGUAGAUAUAGGAAGGAACACCAGUGGCGAAGGCGACCACCUGGGCUAAUACUGACACUGAGGUGCGAAAGCGUGGGGAGCAAACAGGAUUAGAUACCCUGGUAGUCCACGCCGUAAACGAUGUCGACUAGCCGUUGGGAUCCUUGAGAUCUUAGUGGCGCAGCUAACGCAUUAAGUCGAC